Non-coding RNA from Salmo salar (Atlantic salmon), 364 nucleotides. NCBI's taxonomy places the organism in Eukaryota, Metazoa, Chordata, Actinopteri, Salmoniformes, Salmonidae. The record is from RefSeq and is a predicted model, not a curated record.
GUAAGAUAUAGCAACAGGGAUACUGUGGUAGGGUCUGUCUUCUAUUAGUGCUGCAUAUUGUUGUGGUUUUGAUCACUGAAAUGGCUGUGACUUUUGGACUCUCUUUGAGUGUUUCUUGGAUUUGUUGCCUGCUAAUUGGAGGGAUAACGUGUUUUACCCUUCAAGAUGAUGCUUAUGGGCAUCCUGCCUACACUGAACCAGAAUCAACUGGAUCCCAAGCAAGUGUGGUGUCUGGUCCAAAUGCUAAAUCUAAUGGCCGCAAUACCCCAGCAAGUGUGACGUGUCGAAAUGCCUCAGCAGAAGCGACAGGCCCCUGCGCCUCAGCAGAAGCUACUGCCAAAAAUACCCCAGCAAGUGUGACGUU